CCAGUUAAUACCGCUACGCCCAUUCCUCCUUACUAGACCGCCCUCACAGUAACGCCCCUUUGGCUGUUCAAGUUUCUCAAGUCAGUGACAUGCUGCCGAAUGACAACACAAGCGCCGCACAGGACUUUUUAAAACGACUGAAUGGAUUUCGCUGCAGCGAUCACUCAACUGUCGAUUGGGAAGUAAAUAAAUGCUACUGGAUCGAGACCCCUCAUCUCUCCUGCCUCUUCAAUCAUCCAAAGACUGUUAAGUUUGUUAUUUUAAUGUAAUGGUCGGUUCAUGUCCGUUACAUUGACUUGACUUGUCAUUGGGUCUGAUUUUAAAUGUGCCAUAUAGUUCAAUGUGGGAGCAGGUUCACACACUAAAUAAGACACUAAGGUCAAGCACAAUCAGAUUUUUUUUUAAACAAUUCUCAGAGCAGAGUAGAGCAGACGUUUCAGGUUACUGCCAUCAGAGAGUAGUGACUUGACCUUAGUGUCUUAAGUGUGCUCCCACAUUGAACUCUACUUUUUGGGUCCAUGCACCUACUUAUUUCUAAACAUCUAAGCGCAAUUAUACCCCUGCCUCCUGAUGUGCCAUAUAACCUGUAUCUCUCCAAUUGUGUGUGUGUGUGUGUGAGAGAGAGAGAGAAUGUGUGCACGCAGAUAUAAGAAGUUGGGGUUGAUGAUCCACAUGAUGGUGAUGGACCAGGACAGCUCUGGACCUCCUGACUGGCAGCUCCAUCCUCAACCUCUUCCUGCCCUUCACACAUGUGCAGGCAGAGAGGCAGUUUUCUGAAGGAUGGUUGAUGUCAGUACCAACAUGUUGUGAUGGAGGCUUCCACCUGAGCUGAACACAGAAAACUUGCACACAGUGAUGGAAGCAGUCGUUCCUGUUCAGCAUUGAUAUGCCGGUAAUGGGUUUGAUGAGCCACAGCAUGGUGAUGGGCAAUCAGCAUCAGGACCAGGGCCGCUCACAAGAAGAACCUCUUCAUCCUCAAGGAGAACCUCUUCAUCCUCAACCACCAAUCUUCCUGCUCUUCACACAUGUGCAGGCACGGAGCCAGCUUUCAGAGGGAGGGCUGAUGACACCAGCAACUUCGGAUCUGAACCUGAUCAACCCAGCACCAACCACUGUGCCGCUCCUC
Molecule: long non-coding RNA, 1126 nt
Organism: Engraulis encrasicolus (European anchovy)
Lineage: Eukaryota; Metazoa; Chordata; Actinopteri; Clupeiformes; Engraulidae
Exons: 5
Source: RefSeq, a predicted model, not a curated record